CCCAUACUUGAGCCUGGAGGAAUGUUAAAAUUCAGCUGGAGAGGUGCCUAGUGCAACAGAAGCCUAGAUUAAAAAAAAAAAAAAAAAAAAAAGGGAUUUCAGGCAAGAGGAGAAAAUAAAGAAGCAAGACUUAAAAUGUCCUGUGAAAUGGAGAGCAUUGGGCCUCCCGGCGCAGACGUCCGUGGGAGAUGACUCCUUUAGAAAGCGAGGAACCAAAUUGUGAAGACAUCUGUUCUGUUAUUAAUUUCACAUAAAUCUUAAGCUCCUCAAGGCCAGAAAUGAGGCUUCAUUCACGUCGAAUUAAUGAAACAUGAUUGAAAUCAGUGCUGAAUAUUCACUGGAAGGACUGAUGCUGAAACUGAAGCUCCAAUACUUUGGU
Molecule: long non-coding RNA, 379 nt
Organism: Bubalus bubalis (water buffalo)
Lineage: Eukaryota; Metazoa; Chordata; Mammalia; Artiodactyla; Bovidae
Exons: 3
Source: RefSeq, a predicted model, not a curated record